ACUUAAUUAAAAUAUUCAAGUUAAUAUUUAAUAAUAGUCAUUAUAUACAAACUGCUUUAACUACUUAUCUUACUUUUAUAUAUAAACAUGUUAAAAGCUAUUUAAAAAAUAUAAAAUCGUUUUUAACGUUUUUAGAGGAUAAUAAUAAUAACAAUAAUAUAAAUAAAAUUAACCAAAUAAAUAAAAAUGAGUUCAAUUGGAGUCCUACUUUAAGUUAUAAUAGUAUCGGUUUUAUCUUAUCAGAAUUUUUAUCAUUACUUCAAAUUUUAAAAACAAAAUAUAAAAUAACAAAUUUUAUUAACAAAGAUAAUAACCAGUUUAUAGUACCUCAAGAUUUGGGACAUAUACCUACAUGGAUUUUUACCAAAUUAUUGGGUUCUUCACAUAAUUAUUAUUAUGAGUAUUCACAUGCACAUACAGGUAACAUAUUUGGGGGUUCUUAUAUACCACCGCUAGUUUUAUUAUUCCUUAUGUUUAGUUUGUCAUGUUUGUUUAACCGUGCCACCUUUUUAUCUUGUUUUAAUUGUUUAUUCGUUAUGUUUUUCUUACUUACCAUUUUUAUUAUGCUCAUUUUUACUUCGUCUCAGGAUGUAAUAAAAAAUCUCACGGAACAAAAACUAAACAGAACAAAAUAUAUAAUACCCCCGAUUGCAUGAUUGAUGAAAGUGAAAACACCAAAAAUUAUAACAAUAUUAAUAUUGAUAAUAAUAGUAAUGAUAAUAAAACAUAUAAUCAUGGAGAUGAUAAUAUGACUAGUGAUGAUGCUACAUGUUACAAUAGUAAUAGUGGCAGCAAUAGUGGCAGUGAUAGUGGUAGUAAUAGUGGCAGUAUUAGUGACAGUAGUAGUGACAGUAGUAGUGACAGUAGUAGUGACAGUAGUAGUGACAGUAGUAGUAGUAGCGAUGCCGAAAAUGAUGAAAUUUCGAUUUAUUUGUAUGACAAUAGUAACAGCCACAGUGACUAUGGAAAAGACAAAGUCGACAAAAACGACAAAAACGACAAAAACGACAAAAACGACAAUUGUAAUAAUCAUACCGAAUCUAAUGAAAAAACAAAUAAACUACAUGAAAUCGGAACAGCUAAUAAAAACAUGUUGAAAAAAAAAAGAAAACAAGAAAAGCUAGAGUUACAGAUAUAUCAAAAAGAAAACACUCAAAAAAUUAUUCAUGAUAUUAAUUGUAUAAAUGGUUUUAUAAAAACAUUAUCAGAAAUAAUUAUUAAUACUCAAAAAACAUUUGAAGAGUUUUUCGUUAAUAAAAUGUUUGACAUUUGUUCUGGCUUUUUGAUUUAUUUGCAUUCAUUGUUAGCUAUUUACAAAAUGACGAACAAAAGAAUGCCAGAAAAACCAAGUGAACAUGUAGACAAAAUCAUUCUUCCGUUAAUAUCUUUUAAGGAAUUUUAUGAAGAUAUUAUUCAAAAUGUAUAAAAACGAAUAGAUAAGCUAACAAACAAAUGCAUAGAUAAAUAAUUAAAUAAAAUUAGUAGUGUAUAAGUACUUAUAUAUAUA
This 1507-nucleotide long non-coding RNA is filed under the name Piliocolobus tephrosceles (Ugandan red Colobus). Its description in RNAcentral is "lncRNA (ENSPTEG00000007912.1)". The record is from RNAcentral. Lineage: Eukaryota; Metazoa; Chordata; Mammalia; Primates; Cercopithecidae.